Lycium barbarum (goji berry) is the source of this 1723-nucleotide RNA transcript. It is a transcript of the gene named U11/U12 small nuclear ribonucleoprotein 31 kDa protein, with no coding region annotated. The transcript is spliced from 3 exons. Lineage: Eukaryota; Viridiplantae; Streptophyta; Magnoliopsida; Solanales; Solanaceae. The record is from RefSeq and is a predicted model, not a curated record.
ACAUUAGUCCAAAAAAUCUUUUCCCUUUAAAAUAAAUAAACUUAAGGCACCUCAGUUAACUUCAUUCCUUAGUGGGGACAAAAUCGUAAAAAUGUCGAAGAAGAAAAAGCACAGCUCAGACUCCGACGAAGACGACACCUUCUACUACCGUUACUCCUCCGCACCAUCACCGGCGCCGCCAUCCUCCGCCGCCACAUCCAAAACCCUAACAAAACCCUCACACGUCAGCAAAACCCUAGCUCCAUCAAAAUCAACAGUAUACGUAGGUAAUCUCGAUUAUACCCUUACAAAUUCCGAUCUCCACACAAUCUUCUCAACCUUCGGUAAAGUAGCAAAAGUAACUGUAGUUAAAGAUCGGGUUACCCGAAAGAGCCGUGGUGUAGCUUUUAUUCUCUUUGUUUGUAGAGAUGAUGCGGUUAAAGCUGUUAAAGGAAUUGACAAAAAAGUCCUUAAUGGACGGACUUUAACGGCGUCAAUUGCUUCGGAUAAUGGAAGGGCAGCUGAGUUUAUAAGGAAGAAAGUUUAUAAGGAUAAGAGUAGGUGUUAUGAGUGUGGUGAACAAGGACAUUUAUCUUAUGAGUGUCCGAAAAAUAAACUUGGUCCUAGAGAAAGACCCGAGCCCUCGAAGAAAGGGCGGAGAGGGAUAAAGAAUUAUGGGAGCAACAGUGGUGGUGGUGGUGGAAAGGGGGGUGGUGAGUUGGAGGAUGAGGAGGAGGAGGGGGAUGAUGAUGUGGCAGCGAGUUUUGAUGAUGAUAAUUGGGCGUCGGUGGUGGAUAGGGGAGCAGAGGAGAGGUUAUUGAAAGGAGAUAAUGAGGAAUUCAAGAAGGAGAAAAGGGGGGAGAAGAGAAAAGGUUAUUUUAGUGAUGAGAGUGAUGAGGAGGAUUGAUUUUUUUAUGGUGGAAUUAGAUGAGGAAAAAUGGGAGCCUUUAGCUUGUUUCUGAAGGUUUUGAGGAGUGGUUUUCAAUGGUGUUAAUUGAAAAGUUUUCAUUCCCUCCUUUUAUUGUCAAGUGUUAAUUGAUUUCAUUGGUAAAUACCAACAUGGUGCUGCAUCGUAUCUAUGAUUGUGGAACUAGAUAGUAAACGGGCAGGGCAGCCUGAUGCACUAAGCUCCCGCUAUGCGCAGGGUCCGGGGAAGGGCCGGACCACAAGGGAGGAACUAGAUAGUAGUUGUAUGUAUAUAGAAAUGUAGAACUUAUUUAGUUUAAGUUGAAAAAUGGGAGCUUUUACCUUGUUUCUGAAGUUGAGGAACGAUUUUCAGUGAUGUUAAUUGAAGUAAAAGAGAAGGUAACAUGGAAAAUAUUAGCUUUAACCAAUAGCUAGAGUACCCGAGGUUUGUGGUGAAGGAUUUGGAUCAUUUGGUUUUGGAGCAGCACAGAAACCUUUAUUCACGAGAUUGCAACAUGUUUGUUGUCAUUCUUGUCUCCCUUGUUCGUUCAUCAUUUUGGAUCAGGGGCUUGGAGCUCGCGAAGAUUUUAAGGUCCCUGUUAAGUUUUCAGAAUCGCUUCAAAGUUUUCUUCAUUGAAAUAGAGAGCUAUACUGUCACUCAGCAACAUGUUCAGGUACUCCGAGCAUGUCAAUACAAGCCAUUGGGCACUCCUGUUACUCUUGUGGAUUAACUGCUUGACAAGUUAGUUAGAUAGCUCUUUAUUUGAGGAUGAAACUAUGCAGAAUGUUGCCUGUAAUAUCAUAAUUACCAAAAGGCAAAUGCAAAGUUUUUUAAGCA